This 347-nucleotide unclassified non-coding RNA is filed under the name soil metagenome. RNAcentral describes it as "partial contains 5.8S ribosomal RNA, internal transcribed spacer 2, and large subunit ribosomal RNA". The stretch from base 1 to 120 matches the Rfam family "5.8S ribosomal RNA", at positions 35 to 154 of the family's 154-position model. The record is from RNAcentral.
GAUGAAGAACGUAGCGAAAUGCGAUACGUAAUGUGAAUUGCAGAAUUCAGUGAAUCAUCGAGUCUUUGAACGCACAUUGCGCCCCCUGGUAUUCCGGGGGGCAUGCCUGUCCGAGCGUCAUUGCUGCCCUCAAGCACGGCUUGUGUGUUGGGCCUCCGUCCUCCUCCCGGGGGACGGGCCCGAAAGGCAGCGGCGGCACCGCGUCCGGUCCUCGAGCGUAUGGGGCUUCGUCACCCGCUCUUGUAGGCCCGGCCGGCGCCCGCCGGCGACCCCCCUCAAUCUUUUCAGGUUGACCUCGGAUCAGGUAGGGAUACCCGCUGAACUUAAGCAUAUCAAUAAGCGGAGGA